CCCUUAGAUGUUCUGGGCCGCACGCGUGCUACACUGAGUAAUUCAAUGGGUAAGGGAACGCUAGAGCAUUACCUAAUCUUGAAAUUUGCUCGUGAUGGGGAUCGACGGUUGCAAUUUUCCGUCGUGAACGAGGAAUACCUUGUAGGCGCAUGUCAUCAUCAUGCGCCGAAUACGUCCCUGCCCUUUGUACACACCGCCCGUCGCUCCUACCGAUUGAAUGUUCCGGUGAGCUCUUCGGACUGCGCGGUCUGCAGUUUCUGCGUUCCGUGCGGAAAGUUGCGCAAACCUUAACAUUUAGAGGAAGGAGAAGUCGUAACA
Molecule: ribosomal RNA, 318 nt
Filed under: uncultured eukaryote
Lineage: Eukaryota
Description: partial 18S ribosomal RNA
Rfam family: Eukaryotic small subunit ribosomal RNA
Source: RNAcentral